RNAcentral lists this unclassified non-coding RNA (738 nucleotides) under Hevea brasiliensis (rubber tree). The record is from RNAcentral. Lineage: Eukaryota; Viridiplantae; Streptophyta; Magnoliopsida; Malpighiales; Euphorbiaceae.
GGACGCAUUGCAUAAGAACAAGAUAGUAAUAGUCUUCAUUCCUCACAUCGGUUCUCGUCCCAAAAUCCCACGCGCUAAGAAGUAAGAAUGGCAUCUCCAGCAACGAGGAUCACAUUUCGACUAGUGGUGGCGGGUCUCGUCAUUAUGAUCCUCUUCUACGUUGGUCGUCCUCUCUAUUGGAAAAUCUCCGCCACCAUUCAAGAGAUCCGCGAGAAUAAACGCACCGUCCAACAAGGCAUUUCACAGAUUGUUUACGAAGCGCAGAAAUCGGUUGGUUGGUUCCACGACGAGUCCGAUUCUGGAGUUCGUGAAGAUCGGAAAGCGAUAAAUCGGAGGCUACUCUUUUAAGAUUAGAUGUUAUUUGGAAUUUCUGAGCCAUGGUAUAUAAGCCAACCAUUUUCUAGGAAGAAAUUUCUUCGCUGUUACUAAAGAUCUACACUCAGUAGCCAAAGAUUAGUCAUGAUCAUAGUUCCAUAUUCUUAUGGGUUCUGAACUGAUUAAGUUAUCCCAGAAAAAAUGCCAGGGUGAUGGGUGGUAUCAUGAGAUAGUUAAGACUUGCACACGUUGGUUUUCUUUUACUAAUCAUGUUGCUGAUUAAUGCAAUUGCUGUUAUUUUCUAUUGCCCUUUACACCAAAGUGGAUUACUUGUGUUCUUUGAGCCUUGCAUUUCAUUAUGGAAUCCGGAGUGUGUUGUGCUUGUUGAGGUUCAUCAGGUAGCUUUUAUUUAACAGCUACCUG